UACGUAGGGGGCGAGCGUUGUCCGGAUUCAUUGGGCGUAAAGAGCUCGUAGGCGGCUCAGUAAGUCAGGUGUGAAAACUCCAGGCUCAACCUGGAGACGCCACUUGAUACUGCUGUGGCUAGAGUCCGGUAGGGGAGCAUGGAAUUCCUGGUGUAGCGGUGAAAUGCGCAGAUAUCAGGAGGAACACCAGUGGCGAAGGCGGUGCUCUGGGCCGGAACUGACGCUGAGACGCGAAAGCGUGGGGAGCAAACAGG
Molecule: ribosomal RNA, 254 nt
Filed under: uncultured bacterium
Lineage: Bacteria
Description: partial 16S ribosomal RNA
Rfam family: Bacterial small subunit ribosomal RNA
Source: RNAcentral